CGGUUCUGCUCGACCGCAUCCAUCUCCAACUGCAUCGCGGCGCGCCAUGCCGCGUUUUUCCCGGCCUCUGCAAAAGACCGAGGUUCGCCGUCCUCACACGCGAGUUGUAGCUGUGCCUCCAGGUCGCGUGGCACCAGUCCCGGCACCGGCUGGUCACCGAGUAGAUUAUCCAUCGUACGAUACCGUAGCGGUUCGCCGCUAUGAUACGCGUCGAUGCGCUCCUCGUCGUGAGUGAGCGGGGAAGCGAACUUCAUCGGGUUGUGCUCUGCGUGAGCUGGUGCUGAUGAAGACGAGCCCGGAGUGGUGACUGUCGGGGCUGGAGUAUGCGGCGUCGUCGGUUGUGGUGCCGUCGGCGUAGCAGGCACCGGAGUCGAUGUAGUUUUGGGGGCUGGGGUAGACGUGCUCGGCGAAGAGGAGCUGCUUGCUCCCCCAGCUUCCUUGAAGUGGACGUACUCGACAAUGAAGUCGUCAUACGUCGGUGUCGAGCCGUCGUCCACCGCCUUGUCCCAUUUCCACCCUCG
This 521-nucleotide long non-coding RNA is filed under the name Hordeum vulgare. RNAcentral's name for it is "long non-coding RNA (HVUL_LNC009553)". Lineage: Eukaryota; Viridiplantae; Streptophyta; Magnoliopsida; Poales; Poaceae. The record is from RNAcentral.